The sequence is a ribosomal RNA, 342 nucleotides long. It matches the Rfam family "Bacterial small subunit ribosomal RNA", at positions 871 to 1386 of the family's 1533-position model.
GCCUGAAAACUACAAGCGUAAGCUUAAAACUCAAAGGGUCUGGCGGCACUUUAAACUAUCUAGAGGAGCCUGUCCUAUAAUUGAUAAUCCCCGUUAAACCUCACCUUUUUUAGCGUUCAGCCUGUAUACCGCCGUCGUCAGCUUACCCCCUAAAGGCCACAUGAGUAAGCAAAACUGGCCCAGCCCAAAACGUCAGGUCGAGGUGCAGCUCACAAGAAGGGAAGAGAUGGGCUACAUUUCCUAGGAAAUACGGAUAAUGCAUUGAAACAUGCAUAUUGAAGGAGGAUUUAGCAGUAAGUAAAAAAUAGAGUGUUUUACUGAAAAAGGUCUUAAAGUGCGUAC